Molecule: long non-coding RNA, 3562 nt
Organism: Lathyrus oleraceus (garden pea)
Lineage: Eukaryota; Viridiplantae; Streptophyta; Magnoliopsida; Fabales; Fabaceae
Exons: 2
Source: RefSeq, a predicted model, not a curated record
UUGAUACAUCAUCAAGCAUCAAUAAGAAAUAUGAUGGCUUUACUCAACAGCAAAUUUAAGUACACCUUUAUUCUUUACUCUUUGUCGAGCCAGUCACACAAUAGAUGUAAAGCAUAAUAUGACCGUUAGUUUCUAAAAUCAAAUGGAGAAUUUCACAGCUUCUUUCCAUUUCACUAUUUCAUUCACCAUUUCACUACUCCUAUUUUUGUGUAUAAAUACAUAUCCAUUUCACAAACCACUCACCAACAACAACAAAUCACGUUUCAUUUCAGCUACUACUCUUUUUUUACACUCUCUCUCUUUCUCUCUUUUUUUCCAACCAGAUCUGGAACUUGUAUCUUCUCCUCUACCAAUCGCAUCUAGGUUGCUUACGUUCUUUGGAGAAGGUUUUAUUUACUAAAUUUAUUAAGGUAAAAUAUUCUUCUGAUACACUUUUAUCUUUUUCAUUCAUCAUUAUUACCUUUCUCUUCCUCUCACUCUUUUUAAGUCAAUUCCACGUUGCUACACAUGAAAUGCAUAUCUUGUACACUUUUUAACUAAGCUGUUUCAUUAAUAAAAUAUAUAUUUUUGAAAUUUUAAUAUCUUGUACAUUUUUUAAAUAUAUAUUACUACACAUGAAAUGCAUAUCUAAAAUUUAAUCUCUAAAAUUGAACAAAAUGGCCACUUAACUAUAGAAAUUGAAUCUCUAAAUUUUUGUAUUCUUUAUUUAAAUCAAACCACUCAAAUUUUGAGAAUUGACAUAGUAGACUUUUAUGAUUUAGAUAUUACUCAUAUAAGUUAUUCUUCUAAGAAUUUUAUUAAUGUUAAAGUAGACUCACAUUAUUUUCAAGUACAAUUCCAAAUUGAAAACCAUACAAUAUCUUUGAGUGUGGUCCUCUUCUCAAUAAUUUAAGUUUGAAAGUUUUUGAUGUUAACAAUUGUAAUUUAAUAAAGAGUUGCUUGUAGAAGGUUUUAUUUUCUAAGACGCUCUUAUCUUUAUCAUUCUUUAUCAACACUUUUCUUUUCCUCACACUUUUCCUUAGUCAAUUCCAUGUUACCGUAGAUGAAAUGUACAUAUCUAGUGAACCUUUUAGCUUGACUAAUUUCAUUAAUAUAAUCUAUCCUUUUUGGAAUUUUAAUAUCCAACCAAACUACUACGGACAUCUAAAGUUCAAACUUGAUUGUCAAAAUAACCACUUGACUUAAGAAAUCAAAUCAAAAAAAUUUCACAUUCUUCAUUUAAAUUAAACCUCUCAAAUUUUGAGGAUUGCUAUAGUAGACUUUCAGGAUUUAAAUCUUAAUCAUAAAAGUUAUUAUUCUAAUAAUUAUAUUAAUGAUGACAUAGAUUUAAAUUUUUUCAAGUACACAUCCAACUAUCUAAACUAUACAUUAUUGUAUGUUUGAGUGUGAUACUCUUCUUAAUAAUGGGUCUAAAAAUUUCUAAUACAUUUUUUUUUCUAAUAGAGUAAACAACAUAGGUGUAUAUGUAGUUCCAAAUGUUAAAUGAGCAGAUUUCAUUGUUAUAAAAUAUAAAAAUAGAACCAUGAUUCUCAAAAUAAAAAAAAAUUCUACAAAUAACUCAUAAGUUGUGAUGAGUUUUUUAUAUAAAGAAUUUGAGGUUGAGUGGAGUGUGUGGAAGAAGCCAACUGCUGUGUUUGCAUAAAAUCGGGUGGGAUAUGCGACUUUAAAAAAAAUUUAAAAAUGCAGUUACAUGUCUCUCAAAGAGAUUCAUACCAAAAGAUAUUCAAGUACGAUAUCCUGCAUGAAUACUGAAGUACAAUAUUCAUGUCAGAUAUUAUACUUAACUGACCUUUUGGUAUGGAUCUCUUUGAGACAUAUAUAACUGUAUUUUCUAAUUUUUGAAACCACAUAUUCCACCUGAUUUUUUGCAAGCACGACAUUUGUCUUCUCCAACACCACUCUAGUUAAUCUCAAAUCCUUUAUAUAAAAUACUCAUCACAACUUCCGAGUUAUUGACAAAAUAUUCUUUUAUCAUAGGAAUCUUGGUUUUUUUUUAUACUUCAUAACAAUGAAAUCUCCAAAUUUAACUGUUGAAACUAUAUGUACAUUAUCUGUUGUGUUCCCUAUUAGAUAAAAAAUGACAUUAAAAAUUUUCAAAGACACAUUAUUAGGAAGAGUACCAUACUCAAACAUACAAUAUUGUACGAUUUUGAUAGUCGGAUGUGUACUUGAAAAAAUUUAAAUUUAUGUUAUCAUUAAUAUAAUUAUUAGAAUAAUAACUUUUAUGAUUAAGAUCUAAAUCCUUAAAUUCUAUUCUAGAAAUCCUCAAAAUUUGAGAGGUUUAAUUUAUACGAAGAAUAUGAAAUUUUUGUGAUUUGAUUUUUUAGUUAAAUAACUAUUUUGGCAAUCUAGUUUGAAUUUUGGGUGUCCGUAGUAGUUUGGUUGGAUAUUAAAAUUUCCAAAAGGAUAGGUUAUAUUAAUGAAAUUAACAAAGCUAAAAGGUUCACAAGAUAUGUACAUCUCAUCUACGGUAACAUAGAAUUGACUUAAGAGAAGUGUGAGAAAAAAAAAGUAUUGAUGAAGAAUGAAAAAGGUAAAAAUAUUUGAAAAUAAUAUUUUUUGAUAUUAACUUUAUUAGAAAAUAAAACCUUUUACUAGCAACUUCUUAUUAAAUUACAAUUCUUAGCAUACUAUUAGAUGAUGUAAUUAUUGAUUGUUGUUGUGUUGAGCUUACAAUCUACAUAUUUAGGCAUUGAUGCGGGGGGGAAAUAAAAAUAAUAGAUAACGGUAAAGUUUAGAUAAAAAAUAUAAAGGAACGAUAGUUAGGUGCCAUCAGUAAUAGCAAGUCAUCUCAAUUAAAUUGACUUUCAUUAUUCAAAAAGUGACACAAUGUUGAAGAUGCAUUUAGCUUUUAGAUGUUCACUACAAAGAAAUCAAUAAACCGCUAUAAAACUUUUUCCUGACAAUAAAGCAAUAAAAGAAAUACUUAUUCAACACACUAAUAUUACUAAAGUUUAAAUGAAUCCCAGAAAUUAAGUGUUUUUUGUAAGGAUGCACAUAUAUUCCCCAAAAUAACACAAAAAAGGAAAAACUAUGGUUUUUUUUUUCUUUUAAAAGGAAGCAACCUUUAUAGAAAUACUAGAGUUUCUUAGCAUGGAUUAAGAACCAUGAUUUUUGGUUUCCAGUGCUACUAAAUCAUCAAAUAAUACACAGUUAAGGGACAUUUACUUGACAACUUACUACUCAAUAUAUUGUAAUUAGACUUAACUCAGACAUAGUCUUCAUACAUCUUUGAGGCUUCCCCCUCGACUACUCAACAAUAAAAGACCGUUGGAGAGUGAACAAGGUUUUGGUGUAUUGUUGAAGGGAAACCAAAUUGCAAAGCCUAGUAAAAUAAAUGGUAGAAAGUGAUAAAAAAUCUUAAGUCAUUGAGUUUGAGAAAAAAAGUGAAACAAUAGUUUCAAAUGUAUUGAUUUUAUACUCGUAGAAACAUGAGCAUGGGAAUUCAUUUUAUGAUUAUCGAGAAAAAUGAACGGUUAUUGUUAUAUUUUAAUUUGUAAGAAAAUAAAUUUUUGCUAUUGUUGUUGUAAUUCAAACAUCUAUGAAGUGAUUGAUUAGAAUA